CGAUGAGUGCUAGGUGUUGGGUCCUUUCAGGCUCUCAGUGGCGCAGCUCACGCAUUAAGCACUCCGCCUGGGGAGUACGACCGCAAGGUUGGAACUCAAAGGAAUUGACGGGGGCUCGCACAAGCGGUGGAGCAUCUGGUUUAAUUCGAAGCAACGCGAAGAACCUUACCAGGUCUUGACAUCCCGGUCCCCGUCCUAGAGAUAGGAUUUUGCUUCGGCACACCGGUGACAGGUGGUGCAUGGUUGUCGUCAGCUCGUGUCGUGAGAUGUUGGGUUAAGUCCCACAACGAGCGCAACCCUUAUUGUUAGUUGCCAUCAUUCAGUUGGGCACUCUAGCGAGACUGCCGGUAAUAAACCGGAGGAAGGUGGGGAUGACGUCAAAUCAUCAUGCCCCUUAUGACCUGGGCUACACACGUGCUACAAUGGCUGGUACAACGAGUCGCAAGUCGGUGACGGCAAGCUAAUCUCUUAAAGCCAGUCUCAGUUCGGAUUGUAGGCUGCAACUCGCCUACAUGAAGUCGGAAUCGCUAGUAAUCGCGGAUCAGCCCGCCGCGGUGAAUACGUUCCCGGUCCUUGCACACACCCCCCGUC
Molecule: ribosomal RNA, 591 nt
Filed under: uncultured bacterium
Lineage: Bacteria
Description: bacterial SSU rRNA
Rfam family: Bacterial small subunit ribosomal RNA
Source: RNAcentral